GAGGGAGGACAACAAAGGGGUGUGAGGGGCCGCGGCGGCAUGUGAGGGGCGACGGCGCCGGGGGCGGCUCAGCAGGUGGGAAGAAUGAAAGGAAGGGGGAAUGAAAGAAUGUUGAACCUUUUUGCCUGGCUGUAUGAUGGAAGGAAACAGAACAGAGAACCUCUGCAAUAGAUCGCUUGGAUGGCUUCAGCGACAAGAGAAUGAUGCUAAACCAUGGCUCUGGAAACUUUCUAAUUGCUUUUCUGCUGCUGAAAAGUCUUUGCCCUGCAGCGCGAAAACGAAAGAUUACAUGGAGAACAAGAAAGCUGCUGUGGAAUUGAAGGAUGCUUCAUCUCCUCAUAAUGCUGGCUCUAAGCUGUUUCCAGCAGUACCGCUUCCUGAUGUUCAUCCUCUUCAGCAACAGCAAAUACAGCUUUCACCUGGCCCGAAAGUAAGCUGCUGUGCUCAUGGCUCUGACUCUUCUUGUACUCCACAAAUGCAUUGUGGUGGUGGUGGUGGUAACUUGAUUCACCCUGGCACAAUAUUAGACUCAAAAGGCACUGGGACGAUUACUUGUCAAGUAGGGUCAGGAUUUGCCUAUCAAUCUGCAUCUUCACUGAAGAACCCUCCAGCUACAAGCAAUUUGGCGGGCAUUUCGAGUGAGUUCCCUGGCAUGUGCGUAGAAAACAGUGUAUCUUCCUGUCAGCAUCUGCCCUGUUGUGGAAAACUCCAUUUCCAGUCCUGUCAUGGUAAUGUGCACAAACUGCAUCAGUUUCCAGCCCUUCAGAGCUGCACGUCUUCUGGCUAUUUUCCUUGUUCUGAAUUCACGAGUGGGGCUACGGGCCACUUGGAUGAACAUAUUGCACAGUCGGAGCUAACAUCACAUGUGUGUGCCAACCCUUUGCACCUAAACAUGGCACCUUCAGUUUGUUUAAAGGGCUCUCACUACUGCAAUGACUGCUUGAGCAAGCCAACCAGAAACAGCCUAGUUGAUGCUGCUAAAAUCUGGCCAAAUAUUCCUCCUCCGAGUGCCCAGACCGCGCCUGUUCCUAUCCCCGUAUGUAAUGGCUGUGGAACCAAGGGAGCAGGGAAUGAGAAGAGUUUGCUGCUGGCGAGCAGCCUUGGCAAAUCACCACAGAAAUAUGGGUCUCCGGAAGUUGCAAUAACGGGCCAAGUUCUGGAAAACCUGCCCCCCAUUGGAGUCUUCUGGGACAUUGAAAACUGCUCGGUUCCCACAGGCCGUUCAGCUAUAGCAGUUGUACAGAGGAUUCGUGAAAAGUUUUUCAAAGGUCACAGGGAGGCAGAAUUCAUCUGUGUGUGUGACAUCAGUAAAGAAAAUAAAGAAGUUAUCCAGGAGCUAAACAACUGCCAGGUGACUGUUGCACACAUCAAUGCUACAGCAAAGAAUGCUGCUGAUGACAAACUCAGACAGAGUCUUAGGAGAUUUGCCGAUACACACACCGCACCUGCCACUGUGGUUCUUGUGUCAACGGAUGUAAACUUUGCUUUGGAACUCAGUGACCUGAGACAUCGACAUGGUUUUCAGAUAAUUUUGGUACAUAAAAACCAAGCUUCAGAAGCACUUUUACAUCAUGCUCAUGUGCUUAUUUGUUUUGAAGAAUUUAUUUCAGACUUGCCACCAAGGUUACCGCUGAAAAUGCCGGCAUGCCAUACGCUGUUAUAUGUUUAUAAUCUGCCAACAAACAGAGACAGCAAAAGUGUCAGUAAUAGACUCAGGCGUUUGUCAGACAACUGUGGAGGGAAGGUGCUGAGCAUUUCUGGAAGCAGUGCAAUUCUCCGUUUUUUAAAUCAAGAAAGUGCUGAACGGGCUCGGAAGCGAAUGGAAAAUGAAGAUGUUUUUGGUAACAGGAUUGUAGUGUCUUUUACUCCCAAAAACAAAGAACUUAAUGAAACAAAAAGCUUCAGCUUUGUGGGAACUGAAAAGGUGAAGUCUCCCAAAAAAAUUAACAAGAACACAAAGCUGUGCCUCCUCAGCAAAGAUUCAAGUGAUCAGUCUUCUGGUACCAAAGGCUCUGCUGGGAGAGGAUUCCAGAUUCAUGGAUCUAUCAUCAAACCCACAAAUGUUAAAAGUUUACAGGAGCUGUGCCGCCUUGAAUCAAAGACCAUCAGUAGAAAUAUUGAAAACCAGCAAGAACAUUUAAGAGAACAAAUUCCCUCUCCUCAGAGUAACCCUAGUGCAGCGAUUUCUGCAUCUCUGGCAACCAAAAAAAUUGGAACGGGAGAAUCAUCCUGUAAAAGUAGUCAAAAAAGAGACACCUCUGCUUCCAGGAGCAUUACCAAUUCCCCUGUAGAUAAAAAAGAUAAAGAUGAAACUGUAUUUCAGGUCAGCUAUCCCUCUGCUUUCAGUAAGUUGACGGCCUCAAGACAACUCAGUCCUUUACUCAUGUCUCAGAGUUGCUGGUCAUCUCGGAGUAUGUCUCCAAACCUCUCAAAUAGAUCAUCUCCACUCACAUUUAAUGUAGUAAAUCAUACCAGUGGUACAGACUGCCCUGAUCCUUUUGCAAAUGGUGCAGACAUUCAGAUCAGCAAUAUUGAUUACAGAUUAUCCAGAAAAGAGUUGCAGCAAAAUUUACAAGAAAUUUUCUCAAGACAUGGCAAGGUAAAAAGUGUAGAGCUGAGUCCUCAUACAGACUACCAGUUGAAGGCAACAGUUCAGAUGGAAAACCUGCAAGAAGCAAUCAGUGCUGUCAACAGUCUUCACAGAUACAAAAUUGGCAGUAAAAGGAUCCAGGUCUCAUUAGCAACAGGAGCUGCGAGUAAAUCACUUUCUCUACUUAGCUCAGAAACGAUGUCCAUUCUGCAGGAUGCACCUGCUUGUUGUCUGCCUGUGUUCAAAUUCACAGAAAUCUAUGAAAAAAAAUUUGGGCACAAGUUAAUUAUAUCAGACUUGUAUAAACUAACGGAUACGGUGGCAAUCCGUGAGCAAGGGAGCGGGCGGCUGGUGUGCCUUUUACCCAGCAGCCAAGCCCGACAGAGUCCAUUGGGAUCUUCGCAGUCACAUGAUGGUUCAUCAGCAAACUGUAGCCCUAUAAUAUUCGAAGAGUUGGAAUAUCACGAGCCUGUUUGUAAGCAGCAUUGCCUGAAUAAAGACUUUAUUGAGCAUGACUUUGAUCCAGAUUCUUACAGAAUUCCCUUUGUGAUUUUGUCUCUGAAGACAUUUGCUCCCCAAGUUCACAGUCUUCUACAGACACAUGAGGGUACUGUGCCUUUACUAAGUUUUCCUGAUUGUUAUAUGUCAGAGUUCAAUGAUCUUGAAGUGGUGCCAGAAGGCCAGGGUGGUGUUCCUUUAGAACAUCUGAUUACCUGUGUUCCUGGAGUUAACAUUGCCACUGCCCAAAAUGGCAUUAAAGUUAUUAAAUGGAUACAUAACAAACCACCGCCACCUACUGCAGAUCCUUGGCUUCUACGUUCUAAGAGUCCUGUAGGCAAUCCACAACUUAUUCAGUUCAGUAGAGAAGUGAUAGAUCUACUUAAAAGCCAGCCGUCCUGCGUCAUACCUGUCAGUAAAUUCAUCCCAACAUACCAUCAUCACUUUGCAAAGCAAUGCCGCGUGUCUGACUACGGGUAUUCUAAAUUAAUGGAGCUGCUAGAAGCAGUGCCUCACGUACUGCAAAUUCUUGGUAUGGGUUCCAAACGCUUGUUAACUCUGACACACAGAGCUCAAGUGAAGCGCUUUACUCAAGACUUACUGAAGCUUCUCAAAUCCCAGGCCAGUAAGCAAGUUAUUGUGAGGGAAUUCUUACAGGCUUAUCACUGGUGUUUCUCUAAGGACUGGGAUGUUACUGAAUAUGGAGUGUGUGAACUGGCUGAUAUUAUAUCAGAAAUUCCAGACACAACCAUCUGUUUGUCACAGCAAGACAAUGAAAUGGUAAUUUGUAUUCCCAAAAGAGAACGUACACAAGAAGAAAUUGAAAGAACCAAACAAUUUUCUAAAGAGGUAGUAGACUUACUGCGCCAUCAACCCCAUUUUCGAAUGCCCUUCAAUAAAUUUAUUCCUUCUUACCACCACCACUUUGGUCGUCAGUGCAAACUUGCUUACUAUGGUUUUACAAAACUACUUGAACUCUUUGAAGCCAUACCAGAUGUCUUACUUGUAUUGGAAUGUGGGGAGGAGAAAAUUCUCACACUCACGGAGGUGGAACAAGUCAAAGCAGUUGCUGCCCAGUUUGUUAAACUGCUGGCAUCUCAGAAGGACAACUGCCUCUUGAUGACUGAUGUACUGACAGAGUACAGUAAAACAUUUGGAUACACACUGCGUCUUCAUGACUAUGAUGUUAGCUCAGUUCCAGCUUUAAUGCAAAAACUUCGCCAUGUCGUAAAGGUUGUUGACAAAGAGUCUGGCAAAAAAAUUCAGCUGAUAAAUAGAAAAUCUUUGCGGACUCUGACUGCCCAGUUGCUGGUCUUGUUGAUGUCCUGGGAUGGAACGUCCUUUCUCUCUGUUGAACAGCUUAAACAGCAUUAUGAAACAGUCCAUAGUACUCCGCUUAAUCCCUGCGAAUAUGGAUUUAUGACCUUAACUGAACUCCUGAAGAGUCUGCCUUACUUGGUUGAGGUUUUUACCAAUGGUGCAGCAGGAGAAUAUGUGAAGCUUACAAAUCUGUAUAUGUUUGCAAAGAAUGUCAGGUCCUUACUUCACACUUAUCACUAUCAGCAGAUUUUUCUUCAUGAGUUCCCAGUAGCAUAUAGCAAAUACACAGGAGAAGUGCUGCAACCUAAAGCAUAUGGAUGCAAUAACUUAGAAGAGCUCUUGGGAGCAAUUCCACAGGUGGUCUGGAUUAAAGGACAUGGCCAUAAGAGAAUUGUGGUACUGAAGAACGACAUGAAAACUCGUUUUAGCUCACCUAGUUUUCCCCCUGCUGAUCAUGUGGAUGAUCAUGGAAAUCAACUUGCUGACAAUAAUGGACAUAUUAUGGAGACCCCAGGAUCCACUUCAUCAAUGGAACUAAAUCUAGGAACACCUAGCAAUGUUUCUAAUCAAACUGAGCAAGAACUUCUCUGCCUCACAAAUACAUCUCCCGUUGACCUCCUGUGUGAGCCAGUCCCUUCCUGCCUACCAUCCCCACAGUUGAGACCUGAUCCAGUGGUUCUGGAGUCUGCAGACCUCAUUCAGUUUGAGGAACGCCCUGCACCCCUCCCAGAGAUAAUGAUUUUAACAGAAGAAGAAAAACAAAGGAUUGUUACCACAGCUCAAGAGAACUUGACCUCUGGUUCUGUGGUAUCCAGCACCACAGAGAAUGCUUCAGUGCCUCCCUGUCAGUCCUCCGACACCCAGCUAAGCAAGGAAGCAAUGGACAGCCCAGCCAAAAAGCAACACAAAAACAAGCUUGCUGAAGACAGUAAUUAUCCAGGAAUUACAAGUCUGACAAGAGUGCUUUGAACUUUACUUCAGUAUCUAACAAAAUAAUAAUAAAAUAAUCUGCAACUGAAUUGGACUGUUCUGUCAUCUCCCAGCUUUAUGGACAGAAGUAAAGAGCCGGAUGAGGUGCUCCCGGCUGUUUUGUGUGUAUGGUCUCGUUGCAUAUUCUCACUUAAUGGCGCUGUUAAGUGGAACAGUCUGCUAGAGAAAAUAAAUGUCAGGCCUGCCGCAGUUUGAGCGGAGGAGCUGACGCAAGGCUUUUCCUUCAGCCAGAGCAAAGCCGCAGGGUGGGCAGGAGUGAAAGCAAGCGAUCUCUCUAUAGAACGGGCUGAGGACUUGGUGUGCCCACCGAGGACAGGCUGCUCUCUGUGUUCUGCAGGGUCUCAGGUCUUGGUGCAGAGAGAAAAGCUGCCUGCCUGGAGGAAGGCGUGCGGCCUGUCUUUGCAGGUAACCUUUUUGCAAUUUGAAUAUUUAAUUUCUUUUGUGCCUCUGAAAACCUUGGCUUUAAGUGAUUUCUUAGUCACAGCUUGACCUUGAUACCUGUUCAGUCUGUGUGGCCAUAGAAAGUCAGAUGCUGAUGUACUUUAACGUCAGCAUUUUAUUAACGUAUAGUGUGAUGUCUUACAGUGGAUGUAUGCUAUGGAACAAGUGAUGUACGCAGAGAUCUUU
RNA transcript from Grus americana (Whooping crane), 6025 nucleotides. It is a transcript of the gene named meiosis regulator and mRNA stability factor 1, with no coding region annotated. Lineage: Eukaryota; Metazoa; Chordata; Aves; Gruiformes; Gruidae. The record is from RefSeq and is a predicted model, not a curated record. The transcript has 29 exons.